UUCGCAAUGCCCGAAAGGGUGACGAAGCGACGCCGCGUGUGGGAAGAAGGCCUUCGGGUUGUAAACCACUGUCGGGAGUUAAGAAAUGCAAGGAUAUUAAUAGUGUCUUUGUUUGACUAAGGCUCCGGAGGAAGCCACGGCUAACUCUGUGCCAGCAGCCGCGGUAAUACAGAGGCGGCAAGCGUUGUUCGGAAUUAUUGGGCGUAAAGAGCACGUAGGCGGCUAUGUAAGUCGGUUGUGAAAGCCUUCCGCUCAACGGAAGAACAGCAUCCGAUACUACAUGGCUUGAGUGCGGGAGGGGAGAGUGGAACUUCUGGUGGAGCGGUGAAAUGCGUAGAUAUCAGAAGGAACGCCGGCGGCGAAAGCGGCUCUCUGGCCCAUAACUGACGCUGAAUGUGCGAAAGCUAGGGGAGCAAACGGGAUUAGAUACCCCGGUAGUCCUAGCCGUAAACGAUGGGCACUAAGUAGAGGGGUUUU
Molecule: ribosomal RNA, 477 nt
Filed under: uncultured bacterium
Lineage: Bacteria
Description: bacterial SSU rRNA
Rfam family: Bacterial small subunit ribosomal RNA
Source: RNAcentral